UCCUUCACCAAAUCCAUCACCUCAUCUUCUUCCACUCCAAGAUCUAAAAUGUCAGCCAUUGUUGCGACUGCAAAGAAAUUCAUGGGAAAUAACGGUACGCUAUCAACAUGUGAGAAUUAUUGAGAAGUCCACCAUGUUGGAGGAGCAUCUCCCUCAUAAGGCAGAAGUCUGUCGGCAUGGACAACACGAGGAAAUGAGGUUCCAUUAACAGCCUCCAAGGACAAAGUAAUAGGACUCAGUAAAACAGAACGAGGAAGAC
Haliotis rubra (blacklip abalone) is the source of this 259-nucleotide long non-coding RNA. RefSeq lists it as uncharacterized. The transcript has 3 exons. Lineage: Eukaryota; Metazoa; Mollusca; Gastropoda; Lepetellida; Haliotidae. The record is from RefSeq and is a predicted model, not a curated record.